GAUGAACGCUGGCGGCGUGCCUAAUACAUGCAAGUCGAGCGAACAGACGAGAGUGCUUGCACUCUCUGACGUUAGCGGCGGACGUGUGAGUAACACGUGGGUAACCUACCUAUAAGACUGGGAUAACUUCGGGAAACCGGAGCUAAUACCGGAUAAUAUUUAGCUUCGCAUGAAGCAAUAGUGAAAGACGGUUCUGCUGUCACUUAUAGAUGGACCCGCGGUGUAUUAGCUAGUUGGUGAGGUAACGGCUCACCAAGGCAACGAUACAUAGCCGACCUGAGAGGGUGAUCGGCCACACUGGGACUGAGACACGGCCCAGACUCCUACGGGAGGCAGCAGUAGGGAAUCUUCCGCAGUGGACGAAAGUCUGACGGAGCAAUGCCGCGUGAGUGAAGAAGGUUUUCGGAUCGUAAAACUCUGUUGUAAGGGAAGAACAAGUACGUUAGUAACUGAACGUACCUUGACGGUACCUUACCAGAAAGCCACGGCUAACUACGUG
This 499-nucleotide ribosomal RNA is filed under the name uncultured bacterium. RNAcentral describes it as "partial 16S ribosomal RNA". It matches the Rfam family "Bacterial small subunit ribosomal RNA", at positions 28 to 507 of the family's 1533-position model. The record is from RNAcentral.